RNAcentral lists this ribosomal RNA (442 nucleotides) under Mycobacterium sp. AEOC025. Its description in RNAcentral is "bacterial SSU rRNA". It matches the Rfam family "Bacterial small subunit ribosomal RNA", at positions 401 to 853 of the family's 1533-position model. Lineage: Bacteria; Bacillati; Actinomycetota; Actinomycetes; Mycobacteriales; Mycobacteriaceae. The record is from RNAcentral.
GUGAGGGAUGACGGCCUUCGGGUUGUAAACCUCUUUCAGUAGGGACGAAGCGCAAGUGACGGUACCUAUAGAAGAAGGACCGGCCAACUACGUGCCAGCAGCCGCGGUAAUACGUAGGGUCCGAGCGUUGUCCGGAAUUACUGGGCGUAAAGAGCUCGUAGGUGGUUUGUCGCGUUGUUCGUGAAAACUCACAGCUCAACUGUGGGCGUGCGGGCGAUACGGGCAGACUUGAGUACUGCAGGGGAGACUGGAAUUCCUGGUGUAGCGGUGGAAUGCGCAGAUAUCAGGAGGAACACCGGUGGCGAAGGCGGGUCUCUGGGCAGUAACUGACGCUGAGGAGCGAAAGCGUGGGGAGCGAACAGGAUUAGAUACCCUGGUAGUCCACGCCGUAAACGGUGGGUACUAGGUGUGGGUUUCCUUCCUUGGGAUCCGUGCCGUAGCU